This 714-nucleotide long non-coding RNA is filed under the name Mytilus galloprovincialis (Mediterranean mussel). The record is from RNAcentral. Lineage: Eukaryota; Metazoa; Mollusca; Bivalvia; Mytilida; Mytilidae.
GGGGGGGGGGUCCCAACCUGAAUACAAAAAUAAAAUAUGUUACAACCAGUAUUAUGUCAAUAAAUUAGUGAAAAAAAAUACUAUUUACUAUCUUUAUCAUGUUUAUGGUAGUACAGUAGACUCCGGACAAUCGGAUACCCAAAAUGUCAGCUAAAAAUAUCCGAUUACCCGAUAUAUUCAAUUAGACGAUGAAUGUAUAUUCAAUUAAUAUUCUACAAUAAUAAGUAGAUCUAUUGCUUAAUAUGUGAAAGGGCUGGAGGAUUGAUGGAGUGAUUUUUAUCAGUUACAUCACCACGAUGUUUGCGAGAAAAAUUAUCAGCUGAUUAUGUAGCUAAUGAUUAAAUUUGUUUCCACUUGCAGUUUUUAAAUCCUAUAUUUAUUAAAAUCAAUCAAAUGUCCUGAAAUAUUUAUGUAAAUUAUUAUCUUCCAUCCAUAGUUUGUCUUUACUUGUUUAGUAAACAAAUUAUUUACAUUUUCACACAGGUAAACUAAUUUGGCUAUAAAUAGAUCAAAGCAUGUCUGAGUAGAAUCUCUUAUCUAAAAUCGUAAUUGUUAUAAUUUUAUUUCUUUAAAUAAUCAAAUUUAAAUUUAUGAAAAUAAUCAUGAUUGAUAAAAUAGUAUUGCAUAAAGUUUACGCUUUCAGAGACUAUUUAUGUUUAGGUCAUGGUUCUACAGGCUUCUUCACAUAUUUGUAAACAAACCAAUAUGGCCGCC